RNAcentral lists this ribosomal RNA (485 nucleotides) under uncultured bacterium. RNAcentral's name for it is "partial 16S ribosomal RNA". It matches the Rfam family "Bacterial small subunit ribosomal RNA", at positions 29 to 523 of the family's 1533-position model. The record is from RNAcentral.
AGUGAACGCUGGCGGCGUGCUUAACACAUGCAAGUCGAACGAGAACGGAAUAUAGCUUGCUAUAUUUGUCAGCUAAGUGGCGCACGGGUGAGUAAUGUAUAGAUAACCUGCCCUUAAGAAAGGAAUAACAGUUGGAAACGACUGCUAAUGCCCUAUAUGCCUUUAAUACAUAAGUAUGCAAGGGAAACGCUUUAGUGCUUAAGGAUGGGUCUGUCUGGUAUCAGCUUGUUGGUGAGGUAAUGGCCCACCAAGGCUAUGAAGCCUAACUGGUUUGAGAGGAGGAACAGUCACACUGGAACUGAGACAAGGUCCAGAAUCCUACGGGAGGCAGCAGUGGGGAAUAUUGCACAAUGAACGAAAGUCUGAUGCAGCAACGCCGCGUGGAGGAUGACACAUUUCGGUGCGUAAACUCCUUUUAUAUAGGAAGAUAAUGACGGUACUAUAUGAAUAAGCCCCGGCUAACUCCGUGCCAGCCGCCGCCGUAA